This is a long non-coding RNA of Neofelis nebulosa (Clouded leopard), 1218 nucleotides long. RefSeq lists it as uncharacterized. The record is from RefSeq and is a predicted model, not a curated record. Lineage: Eukaryota; Metazoa; Chordata; Mammalia; Carnivora; Felidae. The transcript is spliced from 3 exons.
ACGUUUCCCUGGAGUCUUGGCACCGGAAGAUCUUUCUCUUUUUCCUUUUGCUCAAUUCCCAGCUGCUUUGCAGCCUGAACUUCUGCCUACCCAUCUACAACGCCCCGUGGCAGCUCCCAUCUGGGCUACAGCAGUGCCUGUCGAGGCAGGGUGUGAUCCAAGCCCCUACGCCUUCCAGAAGCCCUUCCCCUCUCUGACGGCAGGCCGGUGUCCUCCCGAAGCGGACCGGUUCGGGUGACCGACACACCUAGAUUCUGGUUUGAGCUGUUAUAGUUGCUAGCUGUGCAGUCUCCAGAAACUUCUCCCACCCCCUUGGACCCGGGUUUCCUUUUCUGUGAAGUGGGACUGGGAAUCUCUGUUCUGCCUACCUUCUAGGGUUAUUUUGAAGAGGAGAAAAAGACGCUACACAUUCAUUGCAUCAUUUACGAAACGGAUAUUGAUCACUCAGCCGUGUGCCAGCCGCUGGAGAUGAAAGGCCGUCGUUCAACUGUAACGUGUUAUACAAAUACGACGCUCUCCUCCGAUGCGGAAAAUUCACAACCCGCUGGGUCAGACUGGGUGUGUUUGCUCUGCUUCCCUCACCUGUCUUCUCUCCCGGUAAGAGUGACUGCUAGCUACCUGAGUUCUGCCCGCCCACAAACAUUCAGGGCAAAGCUAGGUCUAGUAAGAGAACUUCAUAAAUGGAAAACAUCAGCUGGCAUUAGAAAGAUCUAUGGUGACGAAGCCUCUGUGUGUUUGGAAGCCUCACUAAUCUUGCACCAGAAGGCCGUCCGUGAGGGGAUGGUCAGUGACAUUUUUCCUAUUUGCUGCAGCAUUGACAAGCAGGGCCCCAGACCGAGGACAAAGAGGAGAGCAUCACAAAUUGGCCAACGUUGGACAACAGAGUAACAGGAGCAAAGCAUCACUCCAGGUGGGCAGGCAGGAAACAGCUGGCUGGGAAAGGCGCCCAUGACCCAUUGCCCCAGUCCACCCUUGGCCUGGGAGAAGUCAGACCGGAAGUGGCCAGGGAACUUGCAAGACCUGCAAAGAGCCGGACUUUGCUCCACAUGGCUACACUGGUCAACAUGUGUCAACAUGGUCAACACUGGCUCAACAUGGCGGUCAACAGCUACACUGAGUACACGAAAUGCAGCCAGUUUGAAUUGACAUAUACUGUAAGUAUAACACUUCAACUUCGAAGAGUGAGUACAAGAGGGAAAAAUAGCUCAUUAAUGAUUU